This 301-nucleotide ribosomal RNA is filed under the name uncultured bacterium. RNAcentral describes it as "partial 16S ribosomal RNA". It matches the Rfam family "Bacterial small subunit ribosomal RNA", at positions 509 to 809 of the family's 1533-position model. The record is from RNAcentral.
CAGUCGCCACGGUAAUACGGAGGGUGCAAGCGUUAAUCGGAAUUACUGGGCGUAAAGCGCACGCAGGCGGUCUGACAAGUCAGAUGUGAAAUCCCCGGGCUUAACCUGGGAACUGCAUUUGAAACUGUCAGGCUGGAGUCUUGUAGAGGGGCGUAGAAUUCCAGGUGUAGCGGUGAAAUGCGUAGAGAUCUGGAGGAAUACCGGUGGCGAAGGCGGCCCCCUGGACAAAGACUGACGCUCAGGUGCGAAAGCGUGGGGAGCAAACAGGAUUAGAUACCCCGGUAGUCCCUGUCUCUUAUAA